Molecule: long non-coding RNA, 1150 nt
Filed under: Papio anubis (olive baboon)
Lineage: Eukaryota; Metazoa; Chordata; Mammalia; Primates; Cercopithecidae
Description: lncRNA (ENSPANG00000046266.1)
Source: RNAcentral
GCAGUGAACAUGAAAAACAGGGGAGAAGUUCGAGCAGAAGAACUUGAUAAUCCAGUGACAUCAGAUGGGAAGGGACCAUUCUGAGUAUAACAUGCUGUUUAUCAUGUGUCCUGGGAACAGGGUUGGGGUGGAAACUAGAAUGAAAAUUAAAGAAUGAUUUUGCUAGAUACCAUGUUGAACCCUGAGGCACAACAUCAUGGUCAUGGUGCCCAGUAGCCAAAUACAACACCCAAAAGAGAGGGAUGUUCUUUCCCACAGAAUGCUGAGGAGUUCUGUCAUAUGACAGCACCACUGCAUCAUAGUCACCCAUCCCAGUGGGAGUUGUAGCACCCAGGAGACCAGCAGCAAUGCCCAGUAAGGCAAGGCGCUAUCCAAUGGGAAAUGGUAACUCCUGAGAACUACCACCAACAGCCAAAAAAGGAUUUUUGCAAAGGAGCAAUCUCUUCAGGACAGGUAGAUUGCAGGGCUUUGCUUCCAAUAUCACCAGAGACAGGGUCUCACUCUGCCAACCAAGCUGGAGUGCAGUGAUGUGAUCGUAGCUCACUGCUGCCUCGAAUUCCUGGACUCAAGUCAUUCUCCCACCUCAGCCUCCCAAGUAGCUGGAUUACAGCUGCACACCACCAUGCCCAGUUAACUUUUAAUUUUUUGUGGACACAGGAUCUUGCUGUAUUACCGAGACUGGUCUUAAACUCCUGGGCUCAAGUGAUCCUUCCACCUUGGCCUCCCAAAACACUGGGAUUAUAAGCAUAAGUCACCACACUCAGCCCCUAUACUACUUCUUAGAACUGCAGGUAAAUCUGCAAUUAUCUUGAAAUGAAAAGCGUAAGUUUAAAAGGCUGAUUGCUAUACUUUGGACAUUUGUCCCCCAAACCUCAUAUUGAAAUUUGAUCCCUAAUGUUGGAGGUGGGGCCUAAUAGGAAAUGUUUGGGUCCUGAGGUUUAAGGUGGAUCCCUCGUGAAUACAUUAAUGCCCUCUCUGGACGAUGGUGACCUCUCACUCUUAGUUCUUUCACGAUAUGGUUUGGCUGUGCCCCAACUCAAAUCUCAUCUUGAAUUGUAUUUCUCAUAAUCCCCACAUGUUGUGGGAGGGACCCAGUGGGAGGUAAUUUAAUCAUGGGGCAGUUACCCUAAUGCUGUUCUUGUUAUAGUGA